This 466-nucleotide ribosomal RNA is filed under the name Vreelandella stevensii. RNAcentral describes it as "partial 16S ribosomal RNA". It matches the Rfam family "Bacterial small subunit ribosomal RNA", at positions 338 to 795 of the family's 1533-position model. The record is from RNAcentral. Lineage: Bacteria; Pseudomonadati; Pseudomonadota; Gammaproteobacteria; Oceanospirillales; Halomonadaceae.
CCUACGGGUGGCAGCAGUGGGGAAUAUUGGACAAUGGGCGAAAGCCUGAUCCAGCCAUGCCGCGUGUGUGAAGAAGGCCUUCGGGUUGUAAAGCACUUUCAGUGGGGAAGAAAGCCUUGGGGCUAAUACCCUCGAGGAAGGACAUCACCCACAGAAGAAGCACCGGCUAACUCCGUGCCAGCAGCCGCGGUAAUACGGAGGGUGCGAGCGUUAAUCGGAAUUACUGGGCGUAAAGCGCGCGUAGGCGGUCUGAUAAGCCGGUUGUGAAAGCCCCGGGCUCAACCUGGGAACGGCAUCCGGGAGGGGCAGGGUGAGGUCGGAGGAGAGGAGAGGAAUGCCCGCGGGGGAGGGGGGAAAUGCGGAGAGACCGGGAGGAAAGACAGGGGAGAAGGGGGCCUUAGGGAAUGACCCUGACGAUGAGGGGCGAAAGCGUGGGUAGCACCCAGGUUGAGAGACCCCAUGAGGC